UCCAUAGGUUAAUGAGGCGAACCGGGGGAACUGAAACAUCUAAGUACCCCGAGGAAAAGAAAUCAACCGAGAUUCCCCCAGUAGCGGCGAGCGAACGGGGAGGAGCCCAGAGCCUGAAUCAGCAUGUGUGUUAGUGGAAGCGUCUGGAAAGGCGCGCGAUACAGGGUGACAGCCCCGUACACAAAAGCGCAUGUGCUGUGAGCUCGAUGAGUAGGGCGGGACACGUGGUAUCCUGUCUGAAUAUGGGGGGACCAUCCUCCAAGGCUAAAUACUCCUGACUGACCGAUAGUGAACCAGUACCGUGAGGGAAAGGCGAAAAGAACCCCGGCGAGGGGAGUGAAAAAGAACCUGAAACCGUGUACGUACAAGCAGUGGGAG
This 378-nucleotide ribosomal RNA is filed under the name Salmonella enterica subsp. enterica serovar Typhimurium. Its description in RNAcentral is "partial 23S ribosomal RNA". It matches the Rfam family "Bacterial large subunit ribosomal RNA", at positions 163 to 579 of the family's 2925-position model. The record is from RNAcentral. Lineage: Bacteria; Pseudomonadati; Pseudomonadota; Gammaproteobacteria; Enterobacterales; Enterobacteriaceae.